Molecule: ribosomal RNA, 451 nt
Filed under: uncultured bacterium
Lineage: Bacteria
Description: bacterial SSU rRNA
Rfam family: Bacterial small subunit ribosomal RNA
Source: RNAcentral
GUGGGGAAUUUUGCGCAAUGGGCGAAAGCCUGACGCAGCAACGCCGCGUGAGUGAUGAAGGCUUUCGGGUCGUAAAGCUCUGUCAGGGGGAAAGAAGUGUAUUGCGGCUAAUAUCCGCGAUACUUGACGGUACCCCCAAAGGAAGCACCGGCUAACUCCGUGCCAGCAGCCGCGGUAAUACGGAGGGUGCAAGCGUUGUUCGGAAUUAUUGGGCGUAAAGCGCGUGUAGGCGGUUUGCUAAGUCUGAUGUGAAAGCCCCGGGCUCAACCCGGGAAGUGCAUUGGAAACUGGCAGACUUGAAUACGGGAGAGGGUAGUGGAAUUCCUAGUGUAGGAGUGAAAUCCGUAGAUAUUAGGAGGAACACCGGUGGCGAAGGCGGCUGCCUGGACCGAUAUUGACGCUGAGACGCGAAAGCGUGGGUAGCAAACAGGAUUAGAAACCCGAGUAGUCC